UUGAUACUGUCAGACUAGAGUUUAUUUGACGUAGGCGGAAUGUAGCAUGUAGCGGUGAAAUGCUUAGAGAUGCUACAGAACACCGAUAGCGAAGGCAGCUUACGAAGAUAUAACUGACGCUCAUGCACGAAAGCGUGGGGACCAAACAGGAUUAGAUACCCUGGUAGUCCACGCUGUAAACGAUGAUAACUGGCUUUUGGCGAUACACAGUCAGAGGCUGAGAGAAAUCAAUAAGUUAUGCGCCUGGGGAGUACGACGGCAACGUUGAAACUCAAAGGAAUUGACGGGGGCCCGCACAAGCGGAGGAGCAUGUGGUUUAAUUCGAUGAUACGCGAGGAACCUUACCUGGGCUUAAAUGGGGAGUGACAGCUGCUGAAAGGUGGUUUUCUUCGGACACUCUCCAAGGUGCUGCAUGGUUGUCGUCAGCUCGUGCCGUGAGGUGUCGGGUUAAGUCCCAUAACGAGCGCAA
RNAcentral lists this ribosomal RNA (469 nucleotides) under uncultured bacterium. RNAcentral describes it as "bacterial SSU rRNA". It matches the Rfam family "Bacterial small subunit ribosomal RNA", at positions 627 to 1101 of the family's 1533-position model. The record is from RNAcentral.